ACGACUCUCGGCAACGGAUAUCUCGGCUCACGCAUCGAUGAAGAACGUAGCAAAAUGCGAUACUUGGUGUGAAUUGCAGAAUCCCGUGAACCAUCGAGUUUUUGAACGCAAGUUGCGCCCGAAGCCAUCUGGCCGAGGGCACGUCUGCCUGGGCGUCACG
This 160-nucleotide ribosomal RNA is filed under the name Iotasperma sessilifolia. RNAcentral describes it as "Iotasperma sessilifolium 5.8S ribosomal RNA". It matches the Rfam family "5.8S ribosomal RNA". Rfam says of the family: 5.8S ribosomal RNA (5.8S rRNA) is a component of the large subunit of the eukaryotic ribosome. It is transcribed by RNA polymerase I as part of the 45S precursor that also contains 18S and 28S rRNA. Functionally, it is thought that 5.8S rRNA may be involved in ribosome translocation. RNAcentral also lists the same sequence under 1 other name. Lineage: Eukaryota; Viridiplantae; Streptophyta; Magnoliopsida; Asterales; Asteraceae. The record is from RNAcentral.